GAUGAACGCUAGCGGCAGGCUUAACACAUGCAAGUCGAGGGGUAUUAGGAGCUUGCUCCUAAGAGACCGGCGCACGGGUGCGUAACGCGUAUGCAACCUACCUUGAACAGGGGGGUAGCCCAGAGAAAUUUGGAUUAAUACCCCAUGGUAUAUUAGAAUGGCAUCAUUUUAUUAUUAAAGUCACAACGGUUCAAGAUGGGCAUGCGUCCCAUUAGCUAGAUGGUAAGGUAACGGCUUACCAUGGCUACGAUGGGUAGGGGUCCUGAGAGGGAGACCCCCCACACUGGAACUGAGACACGGACCAGACUCCUACGGGAGGCAGCAGUGAGGAAUAUUGGUCAAUGGGCGCAAGCCUGAACCAGCCAUGCCGCGUGCAGGAUGAAGCAUCUAUGGUGUGUAAACUGCUUUUAUACGGGAAGAAACCCUGCCACGUGUGGCAGAUUGACGGUACCGUAGGAAUAAGGAUCGGCUAACUCCGUGCCAGCCGCCGCGGUAA
RNAcentral lists this ribosomal RNA (496 nucleotides) under uncultured bacterium. Its description in RNAcentral is "partial 16S ribosomal RNA". It matches the Rfam family "Bacterial small subunit ribosomal RNA", at positions 28 to 523 of the family's 1533-position model. The record is from RNAcentral.